This 829-nucleotide long non-coding RNA is filed under the name Homo sapiens (human). Its description in RNAcentral is "HSALNT0332836". Lineage: Eukaryota; Metazoa; Chordata; Mammalia; Primates; Hominidae. The record is from RNAcentral.
UGCCACCCUAUGAAGAGGUGCCUUCUGCCAUGAGGCCUCCCCAGCCAUGCGGAACUAUGUUUGGGCAGCUUGUUUUCAGGGGAGUGAAUACAUCUUGGAAGUAUGCUUGCGGAAUGCAAUUCAGGUGAAGAAUGCACUAUCUCUAUUGGGAUUUGGCUGAAGGAUAUUCCCCCUUCGCCUUAUGUCCUGCCCGCUUCUGUUAUGAAGACAAUUGCUCCAGGGUAGCCACACUCUUGGGGGCUGCCAUUUCCUGGCCUGGGUGUCCUCAAGGUCCAUAGAGCGGUUCUAAGUAGGAGGUUAUGCGGGACCAGCAAGAGAUGGCGAAACACUUGGGGAUAGUAUGAGCAGGUAGCUGUUACCAACUCCUAGGUCUGCAGAGGUAAGGAAAAGAAAAAUAGAUAAUUAUAGAAGCGCUUCCUGCCAGGAGCUGCAGCCUUCAAGAGAAGCACACAGCUGUGCCAAUCCAUGGCCCUACAGGAAGGGCACCAGGGAAGUAGAUAGAGUGGGCUCUUUCCUCCCACACUUCCAUCUCCUGCCAGAGCCUCAUGGGCUGAACCCAACUGAGACCCAGAGGAAGAGGAAACCCAGCUGAAGCCCAUAGAAGAAAGUCUCUGAGCCAUCAAGCAGAGUGGAGAAAGCUGGAAAAUAAACCUCAGGAGGAACCAGAGAAUAUUUAGGGCAGAUGACAGUAGUACUUUUAUUUACUAAUAUUUACAUAAAAGGUGCAAAAAUGUAAAUAUCAGCACCACAUUUUUCCAAUAGUUUUCUAUAAGACAAUUGUUUCACUAAAGGUUUGUUGGGAAAGGGAUUCUGUGUUCAAAUAAAUUUG